GUGAGAUUGUUGACAGAAGAUAGAGAGCACAGAUGAUGAUCAUGCUGCUAAAUCUGGGAUUGGAGAGGGCACUGAAUCAAUUAAACUGCAAAAAAAAAAAGCAUCUCAAUUCAUUUGUGCUCUCUAUGCUUCCGUCAUCACCUUCACCG
Molecule: microRNA precursor, 149 nt
Filed under: Nicotiana tabacum (common tobacco)
Lineage: Eukaryota; Viridiplantae; Streptophyta; Magnoliopsida; Solanales; Solanaceae
Description: miR156g stem-loop (nta-MIR156g)
Gene: nta-MIR156g
Source: miRBase by way of RNAcentral